AACGGACAAUUCUCCGUGAGCCUCGCAGUCGAAGGUUGGUUCCUUCCACUGUCGUCGGAUCCCGAAUCUUGCAUUUCUCGACGUCGAUGGCGGCCAUGGAGGAGUUGAGUUAGCUCGCGCAGUCCACAAGUCGCCGCCCUCCUCGCGGACGAGGACUUCGAUGAAAGAUCGUACAAGCGGCGGAUUUCCACCUUCCUCAACGUCGUCGUUCUCGGCAACGUUGGUGCUGGUAAAUCAGCAAUGUAGAACAGCUUGAUCGGACAUUCCGUAUUGGUAUGGUGAACUUGGAAUUGUACUUCUAGUUUGUUCAUGUUUCAUCAUUUGCGACCUGCACCUUUCUGUUGAUUCGAGAGGCAUUAACUGUUUACUGAAAUCAACUGGAGAAAAUGGUUUCACUCGGUCUCUUGAGAUGGCUCUAUCGGUGUUGAUUUGCAAAGAGAUGGCUCUCUGAGCAGUAAAUCAAUCAUCCUGCAAAUAGAUAACCAAUCCCAACAGGUUUCUGCAAGACCAGCUAAGCAAGGGCACAGAAGCUCAUAGUUCAGUAAAGAGCCAUGCAGAUGUGAUCUAUAUGAAACCCUGGACGGGUACAGGUAAUGGGGUUAUAUAAUAUUAUUUGUUUAAGGACAGUGAUUACGGUGCACAUACUGAUGCAAUAUUGCUAGUUAUAGUGCCAGCUGCGCAGGCACUAGAUAUUUCUUCUUCCUGAGCUGUUAGACAGGCUAAGGAAUUUGAUGCAGAAGAUUACAAGUCCCAGAUUGUUCAUGAUGAUUGUUUAGGCUUGGAGAACAAAUGGUGCAAAGUGCUGAAGGUACCAGGGCUAUUGCACUAGAGCUAUGUCAAGAAUUUGAAGAUAAGUUUCUUCAGCACAUUGCUACUGGUGAGAUCAGCGGUUGUCAUUUUUUCUUUAUAGUUUUAAUUUUAUCAUGCUCUAUGCAUACAACUUCAGUUCUCCUCUACUAUCAGUUUUCAUCCCAGGCAACUGUUUCUCUA
Molecule: non-coding RNA, 990 nt
Organism: Musa acuminata subsp. malaccensis (wild Malaysian banana)
Lineage: Eukaryota; Viridiplantae; Streptophyta; Magnoliopsida; Zingiberales; Musaceae
Source: RefSeq, a predicted model, not a curated record